GACGAACGCUGGCGGCGUGCCUAAUACAUGCAAGUUGAGCGCUGAAGGUUGGUACUUGUACCAACUGGAUGAGCAGCGAACGGGUGAGUAACGCGUGGGGAAUCUGCCUUUGAGCGGGGGACAACAUUUGGAAACGAAUGCUAAUACCGCAUAAAAACUUUAAACACAAGUUUUAAGUUUGAAAGAUGCAAUUGCAUCACUCAAAGAUGAUCCCGCAUUGUAUUAGCUAGUUGGUGAGGUAAAGGCUCACCAAGGCGAUGAUACAUAGCCGACCUGAGAGGGUGAUCGGCCACAUUGGGACUGAGACACGGCCCAAACUCCUACGGGAGGCAGCAGUAGGGAAUCUUCGGCAAUGGACGAAAGUCUGACCGAGCAACGCCGCGUGAGUGAAGAAGGUUUUCGGAUCGUAAAACUCUGUUGGUAGAGAAGAACGUUGGUGAGAGUGGAAAGCUCACCAAGUGACGGUAACUACCCAGAAAGGGACGGCUAACUACGUG
RNAcentral lists this ribosomal RNA (497 nucleotides) under uncultured bacterium. RNAcentral describes it as "partial 16S ribosomal RNA". It matches the Rfam family "Bacterial small subunit ribosomal RNA", at positions 28 to 507 of the family's 1533-position model. The record is from RNAcentral.